RNAcentral lists this non-coding RNA (169 nucleotides) under Weissella thailandensis. RNAcentral describes it as "Lysine riboswitch". It matches the Rfam family "Lysine riboswitch aptamer". From Rfam's summary of the family: Riboswitches are metabolite binding domains within certain messenger RNAs that serve as precision sensors for their corresponding targets. Allosteric rearrangement of mRNA structure is mediated by ligand binding, and this results in modulation of gene expression. Lineage: Bacteria; Bacillati; Bacillota; Bacilli; Lactobacillales; Lactobacillaceae. The record is from RNAcentral.
GAUAUAGAGGUUGCAGUCAACAUAAUUAGUCUAACGGAGCCGACAGGUGUGGAUAUUAGACGAAAGGGGCGAUGGCCGAAAUGGUGAAUAUGGUGAUAUUCAUCGUUGGUGUGUAUAUUAAUAGUGUGCAGACUGUCGCGGCAAAAUAGUCGGCUGCGGAGAGCUAUCG